Molecule: long non-coding RNA, 495 nt
Organism: Gasterosteus aculeatus aculeatus (three-spined stickleback)
Lineage: Eukaryota; Metazoa; Chordata; Actinopteri; Perciformes; Gasterosteidae
Source: Ensembl
AGAUCGCACCGUUUUUACCGCUACCAGGAUGCGCAGCGAGAUCACGGACUAAAUAUAGAUGCAGUUGUGUUUCAUAAAAUAAAAAACUAAUAAACGGGAACUUCACCCGAAGAAAACAAAAAUACUUGGAAUCUUUGUGUGAGCGAGUGAGGAACAGGAUCUUCACCCAGCCGAGUGGCUCAAGAAAAUCUGUCAGCACACAACUAAAAACCCGAUCUCACCUGGAGAAUCGAGAUCAUCUGGAAUACACACCUGGAAGACAGCCCUGCCGAUGCGAUCUGCAUGGACUUCCAAACGAGCGUGGGUCGACCAUCGCCACGUAGGAAGCAAGAAUCACGGACGCCGGGCGAAGCGGCCCCCGCUCCUCUGACUCCACAUCUGGAGGAGAGUUUCACCCCAGGACCUUGGGUCUGCUAACUUGUAGCACUGGCGACGCAGAGUGUUACAGCUCCUACUUCUGAGGGAAGAAGUCAAAUAUGCUGAACACAAAGUUCA